GCGUCCGUAGCUCAGUUGGUUAGAGCACCACCUUGACAUGGUGGGGGUUCGGUGGUUCGAGUCCACUCGGACGCACCA
RNAcentral lists this transfer RNA (78 nucleotides) under Pantoea cypripedii. RNAcentral describes it as "tRNA-Val". It matches the Rfam family "tRNA". Rfam says of the family: Transfer RNA (tRNA) molecules are approximately 80 nucleotides in length. Their secondary structure includes four short double-helical elements and three loops (D, anti-codon, and T loops). Lineage: Bacteria; Pseudomonadati; Pseudomonadota; Gammaproteobacteria; Enterobacterales; Erwiniaceae. The record is from RNAcentral.